RNAcentral lists this long non-coding RNA (500 nucleotides) under Monodelphis domestica (gray short-tailed opossum). RNAcentral's name for it is "lncRNA (ENSMODG00000035499.2)". Lineage: Eukaryota; Metazoa; Chordata; Mammalia; Didelphimorphia; Didelphidae. The record is from RNAcentral.
GUCUCCUCUUCACCAUGCCAUUUCUUGAAAAAGAGGAAAACAGUGAACCUGUGCUGAUGAAAAAUGAAACACGCCUGCAAAUCUUAAAGAACAAGGAGCAGAGAAAGAGACUUGUUCAUGAAAUUUGUACUUUUUUAGAUAGCAGCCAGUCUAACUCGAGACUUCGAUAUAAGACAAAGGAUUGGGCAUUAAAGAAAGAAGAAUAUGAAAAUGAGAUUGAGAGGCUGUCUAGUGAGAUAUCAAAUUACUUAAAUGUCACCAAUUUUUGGUAUCAAGACACAGAGCUUCUUAAUGAUGAGCAUAAUAAUAUACCAAGGGAACAGGCAAACAAUGUAGGCACUCAGACAGAGGGCGCCCUUGGACCAGCAAAAAGGAACAAUAAAGUGAAGGAAUUCCAUGGGGACUGGAACAACCUCCAGGAAUUGAUGCAGAGUGAGAGGAGCAGAACCAGGAAAACAUUGUACACAGAGAUGGAUACACUGUGGCACAAUAGAAUGUAA